GAAACCCAUUGAAUUAAUCUGCCGUAAACACCGCAAUUAACCACCAGGGGGAGAUGUUUGGAAACUGCAUGCAAUCUUGUAUUUGACCAAAUGUAAACAAUUAUCAUUUUGUCUACGAACAUCCGAUCCAGACGCAUGAUACGUCUUUGGAAAGCCACAAAACUGCUUUUUUUAUAUAAAAAUAAAUAACCCCUGGAUAUUGAGCUACAGGGCACAGCACGAGCAGUGAAACCGGGGUCCCCACAGACUUCUAUCAGGCGCGUUCACGGUCAUAACAAAGCCUACGUCAGGAGGAAAUUUAACACACGAACAGUACAGCAAACUGAGUCUGGAUUCUCCUCGGCUAAAACAAAACCGUAUCGUUAUUUAUACCUGUUUAAGGGGCUUGUGUUUUGGCUGUACGGCUUCAUCUCAUCCUUUUUGUUUGUCAUAAUCGAAAGCGCGCCAGCCUCCGUAUUUGUUUUUAUGUUGCUGUGUUGUUUUUUGCUAUGGAUGAUUUAUCUGAUUGUCCCCGCUAAUGCUUUAUUGUGCACACACGAGGUUGUUGCCUCUUCAUGGUUUUAAUAUCACCGGGUGUGUGUUAAUUUAUUUUUAUUGUUGUGUAUUCGAGUUGUGAAGGAGUGGCGUCGCUGUUUAUUAUAUUGUUGUUCUUGUUCCCUGCAGCAUUGAAAUGUUAGCCAGUCUGUAUCUAUCAUUUUGGGAUCCAUGGUGGUUGAUUACAUUAGUCACUUAAACUGUAAUUUCUGAUUAGAAUUCACUGUGUUGUUUAUGUAUUUGUGUGGAGUUUAUUGUUUUAAUUAACAUAGUUUUCUGUUUUAACAAGAUAUAAACUGAAAAAACACAAUGUGUGGGGUUUGUCAGUGUGUGCCUCGUAAUCACGUCACCCACGAUUUAAGACUACAGGGGGUGCGUUCACGAGAGGCAGACUUUGCUAAGUCUGCGCAGAUUCUGCAAAGAUUCUGAAAAUUCAUUGGCUACUUGCUCCGAUUCUGUGCGGAUUCUGCGCAGAAUGACACAAGUCUGCGUGUCGUGAACGCAGCCGAACUCUCUCCACACGCAACACACAGCGUUCUUGCGCCUGCCGUCACUCCUGCACACGUGAGGGGAAUACAUGCGGGCUAGAGUGUCUCACGCGUGUAGGGCUGUGUGUUGAAAUGAACCUGGAAACAAAUUCAAAUCCAUGCGUUUCCAGCAGAUGUGUCCGUCCUCGCCUCUUGCUUUGCUCGACUACCUCUAAGAGAAAUGUGUUGGGCUUGUAUCUUCACCUCAGUGUUGCUAUUGUGUUUAAAUUGACAUAUUUUUUUCGGCCCUUGCAUUAAAUGUCGGUUCAUCUAUGAGACUGAGAAAUAAUUCUCAGACAAUAUUAUGGCUGUAGACCAAGAGCAAGUUCAUAAUACUGGUCUGUGACAAUGUGAAGCACUUCCAGUGUAUUUAUUUAUUUAUUUAUUUAUUUAUUGCAUUUAUAUAGCGCUUUUUCACAAAGCACUGUACACUACAGAGCACAAAAAAGAACAAACCACAAUACAUUUCUAUAGCAUGCCACACAUACAGACCAUAAUAAUACAAAAGCAGCAGUUUUUAUAAAAGUAUUUUUCCUCUUGACAAUACUCGACCGUCCCCUCGCUAGAUUGCUCUGAUACUGUGUGUGUGUGUGUGUGUGUGUGUGUGUGUGUGUGUGUGUGUGUGUUCUUCUCUCGCCUGUCCUGUGAGGAUGAAGAUGUAGUUUCAGUGUUUAAUGCUCAUCCCCUCACUGUGUGUCUGUGUGUUCUUGUCUCUUGACAGGUCUGUGAGGACGAGAAGGUCUCCACAGUCUGGAGUCUGGUCUCUGACAAGCUCAACAUACCUGUCAAUCAACAGGGACUCCUCUACAAAGGCAAGGCGCUGUCAGGUAGGCUGAACAGCACAGCACAGCACAGCACAGUUCACCCCUCCUCUCACCCCUCGCUUCACCCCGGGUCAGUGUGGCACAGCCUGCCUGCUCUUCUAAACAAACACUUCAGCCCUGCCGACGCAGUGAGAGUCUGGAGCAGCAACACAAGGUGAUGAAGUGACACUUUGAAUAUGGGGCCUGAUGAGAGAAGUAUCCUUUUCAUGUGGUUUUGGUUUUGCCGUUGUGAGCAGGAGUGGGAAACAGCACCGUGUCUGCAUGUGAAAUAACAAAGUCAUCGCAGUGGAGGGACUCUCUGAAGGCUGCUGUUUGUGGAUUUGUCUUGUAAUGUGAUGAAGUGACACUUUGAAUGUGGGGCCUGAUGAGAGAAGUUUCCUUUUCAUGUGGUUUUGGUUUUGCCCUUGUGAGCAGGUGUGGGAGACAGCACCGUGUCUGCAUGUGAAAUAACAAAGUCAUUGCAGUGGAGGGACUCUCUGAAGGCUGCUGUUUGUGGAUUUGUCUUGUAAUGUGAGUGAUCUACUGUACUGUGAUGCCAUUGUCUGUACGCACGCUGCACUGUAGGGGAGACACCGCUGGCAUUCACAGGGCAUGCUUGUUCAUUUAAAGCACGCUGCACUGCAGGGGAGACACCGCUGGCAUUCACAGGGCAUGCUUGUUCAUUUAAAGCACGCUGCACUGCAGGGGAGACACCGCUGGCAUUCACAGGGCAUGCUUGUUCAUUUAAAGCACGCUGCACUGCAGGAGAGACACCGCUGGCAUUCACAGGGCAUGCUUGUUCAUUUAAAGCACGCUGCACUGCAGGGGAGACACCGCUGGCAUUCACAGGGCAUGCUUGUUCAUUUAAAGCACGCUGCACUGCAUGGGAGACACCGCUGGCAUUCACAGGGCAUGCUUGUUCAUUUAAAGCAUGCUGCACUGCAGGGGAGACACUGCUGGCAUUCACAGGGCAUGCUUGUUCAUUUAAAGCACGCUGCACUGCAGGAGAGACACCGCUGGCAUUCACAGGGCAUGCUUGUUCAUUUAAAGCACGCUGCACUGCAGGGGAGACACCGCUGGCAUUCACAGGGCAUGCUUGUUUAUUUAAAGCACGCUGCACUGCAGGAGAGACACCGCUGGCAUUCACAGGGCAUGCUUGUUCAUUUAAAGCACGCUGCACUGCAUGGGAGACACCGCUGGCAUUCACAGGGCAUGCUUAUUCAUUUAAAGCACGCUGCACUGCAGGGGAGACACUGCUGGCAUUCACAGGGCAUGCUUGUUCAUUUAAAGCACGCUGCUGUGGGAUUUUGCACAGUGAUUUUGUAUCUUAUUUUCAGGUGAAGUUUUGAAUGCAUCAAGUUGGAAGACUUGGCUUAAGAUAAUGAACUCCACUUUUCAUAAUGUAAAUUGUUUAGUUUGCAUGAUUUGACAAUACAGGUGGAUUUAAUUAGACAACAAAACCACCCAUUACUCCAUAAACAAUGACUUGAACAUUCAUUAUCCUGUCUGACCAUGUUUCAGGAGACCUCUAGUGGUCAAGAUGCGCCAUGUGAGGGAAUAAUGCUAUUUUUAUUCUCAAACUUAUAUACCUCCCUUGAAUUACUUUACCACAACAUCUGCGCACACACACACACACACAGUGAGGGUCUGGAGCAGCUACACAAGGCAACCUGAACACAAUAAACACAGACAUAUAUAUAUAUAUAUAUACACACAUGUAUAUAUGUAUUCUUAUCUAGUGUCGUGGUUGAACAGUUUUGGCCUCAGCAAUAGUCAAUGCUAGUAAUUGGAAAUUCUGAGUAAUUUAAAGUAUUGUAUGUGUUUCACUGAUCUGUCAUGUUGGGUGUUUGUGCCUCACUGUGGGUCACUGAUCUGUCAUGAGGGGUGUUUGUGCUGCACUGUGGGUCACUGAUCUGUCAUGUGGGGUGUUUGUGCCUCACUGUGGGUCACUGAUCUGUCAUGAGGGGUGUUUGUGCUGCACUGUGGGUCACUGAUCUGUCAUGUGGGGUGUUUGUGCCUCACUGUGGGUCACUGAUCUGUCAUGAGGGGUGUUUGUGCUGCACUGUGGGUCACUGAUCUGUCAUGUUGGGUGUUUGUGCCUCACUGUGGGUCACUGAUCUGUCAUGAGGGGUGGUUGUGCUGCACUGUGGGUCACUGAUCUGUCAUGAGGGGUGUUUGUGCUGCACUGUGGGUCACUGAUCUGUCAUGAGGGGUGUUUGUGCUGCACUGUGGGUCACUGAUCUGUCAUGUGGGGUGUUUGUGUUUCACUGAUCUGUCAUGUGGGGUGUUUGUGUUUCACUGAUCUGUCAUGAGGGGUGUUUGUGCUGCACUGUGGGUCACUGAUCUGUCAUGAGGGGUGUUUGUGCUGCACUGUGGGUCACUGAUCUGUCAUGUGGGGUGUUUGUGUUUCACUGAUCUGUCAUGAGGGGUGUUUGUGCUGCACUGUGGGUCACUGAUCUGUCCUGUGGGGUGUUUGUGCGCACUGUGGGUCACUGCCACAAGGGGUCACUGUAUUUUGGAUAAUUUUUUUUUGUUUUUUUUAAAACCUUAAUUUAACCAGGAAGUCACGUUAAGAUUCAAAAUCUCUUUUUCAAGACAGAUCUGACCAAGAGCGCAGCAAUACAGAAACAAUCACACACAUUAACAGAUUAACAGAAACAUUUAAAAAAUAAUAAUACCAUGAAACAGUAAUUAAUCAGGACAUUUCAUUGGAUUAUUUGCAACUUUAAAAUUAAUUAAAACAAGUACAUUUAUCAGAAAUAAAAUUUCCCCCCUGAUUUUUUUUAAUCUGUUAAUAAUGAGAUAGUUUGACAUGCUUUUGAAGGUCGUUCCAUGACCAGUGUUUGCUCUGCAGUUGAUAGAAUGUCAUUCGCUUGGUCGUUAUUGUUGUCUUUGACAGUUUCCUGGAGUGUGUGGCUGUGUGCCUGAGUGACAUCCAGAACUUAAGAGAAGUCGUUUCAUUUCUGGUUCUUUCUUGAGGAGAGGUGACUUGUAGUGGUGAGUGUCAGGGUCAGUGUGGCUCGCUCCUGUGACUCUGAGCCCUGGAGCUGCUUUUAAGGGACAGUGUCCUGCAGAGUCUGCCUGUCUGCCCUCGACAUUGUGUGAGGGCGUUUGUACCUGAGAAUCAGGACUAGCUUCUCAUGACGAAUGGGAUGCUGGCUGGAACAUUUAUUUAUGUAGUUCAGCACGUGUAGCUGACAGUGUGGACGUGCUCAUCUUGCAUUGCGAGUGUCAGCUGGUUCAUGACUACAGUAAUUCAUGACUACAGUAACCUGCAGGUCACAGCUUGCACAGGUUCAUCAACAUUGUCAGUUCCUCAUGUAUCCAGUGUGUGCAGUGCUGUAGCAGACAGUGAGGAGUAGUGGAGCAACAAUCAAUCCAUUUAUCCAUCCUCUGCCCUUAAAUUUCCCGAGCUGCGAUUACAUAUUGUUGAAUCGAUGCAUGAGAUGAGAGCCCAGUUUGGAGUCUGCUGUUGCCGGUGUCCCAGGAAAUAAGUUGAUCAAGCUCUAGAAUUUAAAGGGGAGGUUCCAUUGUUUCUAAUGUAACCGAGCCUAGGCUAGGAAAUAAGUUGAUCGGAUAUGUUAAUGAAAAAUAAUUUAAAAUUAAUUUUGUAGGUAUAAUUUAUAUCAAUUAAUAGAUCGGAUUUAUUCGUCGGUAUGCUGCUAGAUAAGAUGAUGUGAAUAUCACCUUAGAUCCGAUAUAUUAGCCUAACAAAAAUGCAUAAUUUAAACUGACUUUUGUACGUAUAAUUUACAUUAACAUGUAGAUCGGAUACAUUCGACAGCAUUACGCUAGAUAAGGGAAUGUGAAUAUCGCUGUAAUAUAUAUUAGCAGCAAAUAAAUCAUUUCAAAUGAAUUGUACGAUUGUAUAUUUCUGAUUGUGUAUUUCUGUUUGUAUAACAAACGUUAACUAGCAAAACAUGUUGCGUAUUGACGUUAUUUUGCAUUUCUGGAGGUGCUUUUGUUUUGGGAAGCACUACAGUUUGGACAGCAGGUAUGCGAGCGAUUGUCCAAAAGUUAAAGCAUGAGUUUCAAUCAUGGAAAACAUUAAGCUCCAUGCUGCGAUCACUAACUAGGCCACGGUGCACAUCAAUCACAGGAUGUACUUGAAAAACGUUGCUAAUACAGUUUUAUUAUUUGAUAUUUGUUCUUUCAUUUAUUUUACAUACAGUAUUUUGUAUAAUAAAUGACAGAAAAUGAACAGGAAACUGGUUAUCAUAGUGCAUGUAUUUCAAUUACAAGUUUGGGAAGAAACAAUACAUUCAUUAAUUAAAAUCUAAAGAGUUAACGUCUUUGCUAAACCGUGGUAAAUACCUGUAGUUCAAUACCAACCAUGAUUUUGUGUUGUGAGAGAGAUCAUACAGUAUCUGCAGGCUACUCUAUAUCAGCAUCAUUUUAAAAUGGUAAAUCCCUGUAGUGCAACAACCAAUAAGACAUGUAAGGAGAAAGAGAUACAGUAUAUUGAAUUAAAGUGAAUUAUCACGAUUUAAAAUAUUAGCUAUACUAAUAUUAAAAUGUAUAAAAUAUGACUUGAACUGUUAAUAAUAUUAUGGAUGCAGCAUGUCAUUAUAUUACUGAAAUAUUUUAAUUUUAGUUAAAGAUUGACAACAUUUUGACGUAUAAAAUCAUUUAAUAUAUAAAUAAAUCUCCGCGAUCACACAUAAACUACAUCAGAUUGACAUCGAUGUUAUAGAAACAUAAAAAGACAGGGGUUUAAAACAGUUUACCAUUGAAACAGUCGUCGAUCACACAUUUUAAAGUUCAUACGAAAAGACAGUGGCACGAACACGCACCAACAUAAUACACAGGCAGAUAAAAAUAAAAAACCUUGCAGUGAACCUCCCCUUUAAUCAAACUGUAGCCCUGCCUUACUUUUGUCUACUUUUAGAACAUAAGAACAUAAGAAAGUUUACAAACGAGAGGAAGGCCAUUCAGCCCAUCUUGCUUGUUUGGUUGUUAGUAGCUUAUUGAUCCCAGAAUCUCAUCAAGCAGCUUCUUGAAGUAUCCCAGGGUUUCAGCUUCAACAACAUUACUGGGGAGUUGGUUCCAGACCCUCACAAUUCUCUGUGUAAAAAAGUGCCUCCUAUUUUCUGUUCUGAAUGCCCCUUUAUCUAAUCUCCAUUUGUGACCCCUGGUCCUUGUUUCUUUUUUCAGGUCAAAGAAGUCCCCUGGGUUGACAUUGUCUAUACCUUUUAGGAUUUUGAAUGUUUGAAUCAGAUCGCCGCGUAGUCUUCUUUGUUCAAGACUGAAUAGAUUCAAUUCUUUUAGCCUGUCUGCAUACGACAUGCCUUUUUAACCCGGGAUAAUUCUGUUUGCUCUUCUUUGCAUUCUUUCUAGAGCAGCAAUAUCCUUUUUGUAACGAGGUGACCAGAACUGAACACAAUAUUCUAGGUGAGGUCUUACUAAUGCAUUGUAAAGUUUUAACAUUACUUCCCUUGAUUUACAUUCAACACUCCUCACAAUAUAUCCGAGCAUCUUGUUGGCCUUUUUUAUAGCUUCACCCGCAUUGUCUAGAUGAAGACAUUCCUGAGUCAACAUAAACUCCUAGGUCUUUUUCAUAGUUCCCUUCUUCAACUUCAGUAUCUCCCAUAUGAUAUUUGUAAUGCACAUUUUUAUUGCCUGCAUGCAGUACUUUACACUUUUCUCUAUUAAAUUUCAUUUGCCAUGUGUCUGCCCAAUUCUGAAUGCUGUCUAGAUCUUUUUGAAUGACCUUUGCUGCUGCAACAGUGUUUGCCACUCCUCCUAUUUUUGUGUCGUCUGCAAAUUUAACAAGUUUGCUUACUAUACCAGAAUCUAAAUCAUUAAUGUAGAUUAGGAAUAGCAGAGGACCCAAUACUGAUCCCUGUGGUACACCACUGGUUACCUCGCUCCAUUUUGAGAUUUCUCCUCUAAUCAGUACUUUCUGUUUUCUACAUGUUAACCACUCCCUAAUCCAUGUGCAUGCAUUUGCACCCAUGUGCAUCCCCUGGUCAGCUGUCCAGCUCACUGCUGCAGAAGUUUGUUUGGGGCUGGGACAAUGAACUUGUGUGUUUUAGCCAUUUGUUAAUCUUUGAAGAGGAUCUGCAAGUUUGUCUUUCAGUCUUCCCUGCAAUAAUGAUGGACUUUAUUUAUUUGAGAAUCUGUGUUGGAAAAUGUGCUAUUUGACAGUGAAGUUGUUUUUAAAAAAAAACAUGUAAAGAAAAUGUACAUGAUCUCUAACUUGCUAUUUGACAAAUAACAAUUAAAAAAUGAAAGCCUGUGUGAUGCUUAUUUCCCUGCAAGCCCUUUUCUUUGCCCACUGGAGCACACAGCCUCUUAUGGGGGUUUGGAACCGCAAAUCACUGCAUCUUAAACACACAGCUCUAGAGUCCGUAACUACAGCAUGUACUGUACCGGUUAUUGUGUGUGUUUUAAUGAAGUCUGCUGCUGUACUUGUCUGGCUGUGAGCUUUUGCUUUACCAACAAACAAGGAAUUAAACAAAACAAAAGCAGCUCCGUUCUCAGCCUGGCGUGAGAUUGAUUUAUUUUACCUACAAUGGGAAGUGCUUUAGACUGAACAACCUCAAGCUCCCUUCAUCUUGUCACAGCUCCGCACUGUGAUAUAAAGUCUAUUUCCUGUACAUUGUUAUUAUUUUUUGUGUUUUAUUUAUUGUGAUUAUUAUUAUGAUUUUAAGAAUGUAUCGGAAAUGUCUUUGUUUUUGCACAGUGGUAAGGUUAAUCCCAGUCAUUACAAUGGGCAACGGAGCUGUGUUAAGAUAAAACUUUUUUUUAAAUUAAAGAAAAUUAUCUUUAUUAAAAUCAACAGUUCUACUAAAUGGCCACACGAUGGCAGCAUUGGAUAAGGAAUAGCGAGAGCUUCGUUCUGCCUAUCUUCGUAAAGUUCACUGCCUGCUUUGCCCAUUGUAACCCGGUUGACAAAGCCACGCUGAAUUAAUCAGCUCACCUGGGGGUCGGGGGGGGGGGGGGCGUCUAUUUAUUUCUUAGCAGACGCCCUUAUCCAGGGCGACUUACAAUUGUUGCAAGAUAUCACAUUAUUCUUUACAUACAAUUCCCCACUUAUACAGUUGGGUUUUUUACUGGAGCAAUCUAGGUAAAGUACCUUGCUCAAGGGUACAGCAGCAGCGUCCCCCACCUGGGCUUCAACCCACAACCCUCCGGUCAAGAGUCCAGAGCCCUAACCACUACUCCACACUGCUGCCCAUAUUUGUAUGACUCUGUCAAAAAUACAAUAGAAGUGACUCUUUUAUUUUAGAUAUUUUCAAUGCAGUAAUCAUCUCCGUGUUGUACAAAUCAUUAGUCCAGUUCAAGUCACAAAUGAGUGCAGUGGUACAGCUUGCAGAAUGGCUCAGUUGGUAGAGCACAGGGUCCUGAUUUCCAGGGUUGGUGGUCCAAACCCUGUUCACAAUGCGUUUUUCUGGGUUUUUUUUUUCAAGUUGCUUAAUUUACCUUGUAGGCAAUGUAAACCUAACAUCAGGGACAGCUGGUAGGUGGUGCAGUUGGGUCGGUCCCUGUGCUUAAAUGCUCUUUACCUUGAGCGACUGGGA
Acipenser ruthenus (sterlet) is the source of this 9387-nucleotide long non-coding RNA. RefSeq lists it as uncharacterized. Lineage: Eukaryota; Metazoa; Chordata; Actinopteri; Acipenseriformes; Acipenseridae. The record is from RefSeq and is a predicted model, not a curated record. The transcript is spliced from 3 exons.